This 406-nucleotide ribosomal RNA is filed under the name uncultured bacterium. Its description in RNAcentral is "partial 16S ribosomal RNA". It matches the Rfam family "Bacterial small subunit ribosomal RNA", at positions 30 to 526 of the family's 1533-position model. The record is from RNAcentral.
AUUGAACGCUGGCGGCAGGCCUAACACAUGCAAGUCGAACGAGUGGCGGACGGGUGAGUAAUGUCUGGGAAACUGCCUGAUGGCGGGGGAUAACUACUGGAAACGGUAGCUAAUACCGCAUACCAUCAGAUGUGCCCAGGUGGGAUUAGCUAGUUGGUGGGGUAACGGCUCACCAAGGCGAUGAUCCCCAGCAGGUCAGAGAGGAUGACCAGCAACACGGGACAUGAGACACGGUCCAUACUCAUACGGGAGUCAGCAGGUGGGAAUAUUGCACAAUGGGCGCAAGCCUGAUGCAGCCACGCCGGGUGUAUGAAGAAGGCCUUCGGGUUGUAAAGUACUUUCAGCGGGGAGGCGUUACCCGAAGAAGAAGCACCGGCUAACUCCGUGCCAGCAGCCGCGGUAAUAC